RNAcentral lists this ribosomal RNA (449 nucleotides) under uncultured bacterium. RNAcentral's name for it is "partial 16S ribosomal RNA". It matches the Rfam family "Bacterial small subunit ribosomal RNA", at positions 29 to 523 of the family's 1533-position model. The record is from RNAcentral.
AAUGAACGCUGGCGGCAGGCCUAACACAUGCAAGUCGAACGGAUCCUUCGGGAUUAGUGGCGGACGGGUGAGUAACGCGUGGGAACAUACCCUUUGGUACGGAAUAGCCUCGGGAAACUGGGAGUAAUACCGUAUGUGGUCGAGAGACGAAAGAUUUAUCGCCAAUGGAUUGGCCCGCGUUGGAUUAGGUAGUUGGUGGGGUAAUGGCCUACCAAGCCGACGAUCCAUAGCUGGUUUGAGAGGAUGAUCAGCCACACUGGGACUGAGACACGGCCCAGACUCCUACGGGAGGCAGCAGUGGGGAAUCUUAGACAAUGGGGGAAACCCUGAUCUAGCCAUGCCGCGUGAUCGAUGAAGGCCUUAGGGUUGUAAAGAUCUUUCAGGUGGGAAGAUAAUGACUGUACCGCCAGAAGAAGCCCCGGCUAACUCCGUGCCAGCAGCCGCAGUAA